Patella vulgata (common limpet) is the source of this 1901-nucleotide RNA transcript. RefSeq lists it as uncharacterized. NCBI's taxonomy places the organism in Eukaryota, Metazoa, Mollusca, Gastropoda, Patellidae. The transcript is spliced from 6 exons. The record is from RefSeq and is a predicted model, not a curated record.
GAAACCUACCCUUGUCUAUAUUAAUAGGAGUACUAAUACCUACUGUAGUAUAUGUCACAACAAAUGUAGCUUACCAUGCUGUUCUCACUACUGAAGAAAUAUCAUCUGGUUUAGCUAUAGCUCUAGUAUUUUCAAAGCAUAAAUUAGGAUUCUUUCAAUGGGUGAUUUUACCGAUCAUCGGGUUAUUUGCUGCUGUUUCUGGUAAUACCAAUAUUUUUAUGGCUAGUCGUAUGAACUUUGUUGCCGGAAGAGAUAACCUCUUUCCACGCUUCCUGAGCAUGGUCAGUAUAACCAGGCGAACACCAUUAGUAUCCAUUUUGUUUCUGUUUCUAACAUCUGUAAUGGUUAUACUUAUUGGGGAUAUCAGAUCUUUACUAACUACCUAUUCAUUCUUUAAAAUAACCUGGUCUAUAUUUUGUGUAGCUUCUUUAAAAUGGAUAAGACAGAAAUAUCCAGACACAACGGACACAUUUCAGACUGUGCUGUUUUGUCCUAUUGUUUAUGUGGGUGUUUCUACAAUACUUGGGAUUUCCUUUUUGAUAUUGGACAAUACGGUAUUUCUGUCUACUGUAGCUAUAUUGGGAAGCGGAACCCUUGUCUAUUAUUUAUCUCAAACAUCAAUGGUUAGAUAUCCACCAAUUACAACUAUUAAUAACGUGAUUGUCAAAUUUAGUCAUAGGUUGUUAUUGUGUGAUUUCUCUACAAAAGUCGAUUAUGGUGAAUAAAAAAAGCUGUAAUAAUUGUUCAUAAUGAUUUAUCAAAAACAUACAUUACGUUAAAUACACGAUGCAUAUUAUAAUAAGCUACUACAUAAUGAUCACGAAUUUUUUAACAUGUUGCCACUUUGGCGUUGUGUAAUUAUCACAGUUCUUACUCAUGGUGUAGGACUGUUAUUGUCAAAAUUUCAAUUAUCCAUAAUUUUUUCAAGUUUUAUACGCCCACAUUUUCAUGUGGACGUAUAUUGUCGUCGCCCCUGUCCGUCCGUCCGUCCAUAAUUGUUUGUGAACAGUCUACAGGUCACAAUUGUUAUCCGAUUUCAAUGAAACUUGAAAUAUAGGUUUAUCACCCUAAGAUCUCGGAUCCUUUCGAUAUUGGCAUGUAUCGGACUGUAACUUCAUGGAUUAUGGCCCCUGAUUGUACGAAAAAUCACGUUUUUAGCUUGUGAACACUGUAGAGGUCACAAUUUGUAUCCAAUUUGGUUUAAACUUCGAAUUUCGUGAAAAUCGGCCCAAAACUAAAAGACAAAAUGGCCGCCGUUCGUUCUCAAAUAGCGUAAAAAUAUGGUAUAUCAAGGUUGUGGACCCUAUAGAGGUCACAAUUUUUAUCCGAUUUUGUUGAAACUUGAAAUGUAAGUUUAUAACCCAAAUAUCUCGGUUCCUUUCGAUAUUCCCGCAUAUCGGACAGUAACUUCCUGAAUUAUGGCCCCUGAUUGUACGAAAAAUUGCGUUUUUAGCUUGUGGACCCUAUAGAGGUCAUAAUUUUUAUCCGAUUAAAAACAAACGUAUUAUUAUAUCACCGUUACACCCUAAGGACGGCUGAGUCCGAAUUUUGUGAAAAUCGGUCCAAAACUGACAGACAAAAUGGCCGCCCCUCGUUCUCAAAUAGCGUAAAAAUAUGGUAUAUCAAGGUUGUGGACCCUAUCGAGGUCACAAUUUUUAUCCGAGUUUGUUGGAACUUGAAAUGUAAGUUUAUAACCCAAAGAUCUCGGUUCCUUUCGAUAUUUGCGCAUAUCGAAUUGUAAUUUCCUAAAUUAUGGCCCUUGAUUGUAGGAAAAAUCACUUUCUUUUUAGUUUUAGCUUGUUCUCUAUCCAUCUCUCGAAAAUGUGGGCGUAUCCUGCCUGGCAGCCGCUGGUUUAUAAAAUCAUUUAAAUUUUGGAUAUGAAAUAUACAUAUCUGCAACA